This 497-nucleotide unclassified non-coding RNA is filed under the name Hevea brasiliensis (rubber tree). Lineage: Eukaryota; Viridiplantae; Streptophyta; Magnoliopsida; Malpighiales; Euphorbiaceae. The record is from RNAcentral.
GUGUCAAUUCAACAAAAUCAAGCAUCCAUGAUGAUUGCUAUAAACUUUUAAGGGUUCCACUUUAAAACCCUAGUGGAACCCUUUUAAGCGAUAGUGUUUAGUUGAAUGCUCUUUAAAGACAGCAAUCUAAAUCUCAAAUAUCUCCAAGUACCUGCAGAGGAGCAAACCAUACACCUAGGAAUCACUGUGUUGGUAUUGGAAGAAUGAAGAAUCAAUGAAGAAAAGCAGGCUUGUGACUUUUGCACAACACAACAUCCUUUCCGCACUUUUUAUCAAACUGCUCAUGUGUCGUCAUCCAUUAACUCAAGCUUCUAAUAGCUACUGACCAAAGCACUACCCGUAAGUGCAUCCAACCCCAGCCUAAGUUUAAUGCCAACCCAUGAUUUUUUUUUUCACCUCAUAAACCUCUAUAAUCUCACAAAGCACCUUAAUUAACAUGGAAAUGUAACCUUAUCUGGCACCAAACUUAGCCUUCACUUUUUUUUUUUAUAAAAUGC